CGAGCACUAUAGAGAAGCAGCGCCACCUUGUGGCUAGUUGAGAGGCUGCAGCAGAAUGAGCAAAGAGUCCUAGAAAGAAGCUAUGGCCCCCGGGAUCCAGCCACAACAAACACAACAAAUAGGAACCAGAAGUCAGUCUAUAUGAACAGGUUAUAUCUUGUGUUAAAUAACAGUAUAAAUUGUUGCCAGGAAUGGAAGGACCAGCCACAUCAUAAACAUGACAUUGUUCCAGUCCCUAAGACUCCACAUUUGCAAUCGGAGAUGGGUUCACACUUUGGAAUCUGAAGCCCCCUGGAAACUCCGUGACUCCCUAUGGAGCCUGGAAUGCUAAAGACAGAAGUGAACUCUGUGACUCUCUAACUGGUGAAAGCUGCCCAGGACCCUUCCAGAAUGAAGCAGAGCAAAGUCCAGAAGAUGAAUGUCUCCUAAAACUUAGGAGCAGGUAAACCCUCUUCAAAGUAUUCAGAAUUGCUCCUUCCCUGUUCCAUUAGUGCCUUAGCCCCUGACCAAGGCCUGUGAGGGUAGCUAUUAUCUACCAUCGGCUGGGAACUUUACAUGUCCAUGGAUCUCUAACUUCCCAUUACAUUGUAAAAUAGAGCAAGCCUGCAAAAAAGUAUCAGGACAAACGUGUGCAUAGAUGAACCUCACAAACAUGCUCUAAAUGAAAGAAGCCAGUCGCAAGAGGCCACCGGUUGUCUGCUUCCAUUUAUGUGAAAUACCCAGAAGAGGCACUUUAGAGAUAGAAAGUAGAUGAGUGAUUGCCAGAGGCUGGGGAACAAGGUGGGGAGGGGUGAAUACCUGCUAAUGGGCAGAGUUUCUCUUUGAGGUGACAUAUUCUAAAAUUAGAUUUGUGUAGGGGCGCCUGGGUGGCUCAGUGGUUAAACUCCCAGCUUCGGCUCAGGUC
This is a long non-coding RNA of Suricata suricatta (meerkat), 904 nucleotides long. RefSeq lists it as uncharacterized. The transcript is spliced from 3 exons. Lineage: Eukaryota; Metazoa; Chordata; Mammalia; Carnivora; Herpestidae. The record is from RefSeq and is a predicted model, not a curated record.